Phacochoerus africanus (Common warthog) is the source of this 1851-nucleotide long non-coding RNA. RefSeq lists it as uncharacterized. The transcript has 4 exons. The record is from RefSeq and is a predicted model, not a curated record. NCBI's taxonomy places the organism in Eukaryota, Metazoa, Chordata, Mammalia, Artiodactyla, Suidae.
AACUUGCGUCCUCAUGCAUACAAGUCAGAUUCAUGUCCACUUAGCCACGACAGGAACUCCCUAAAUAUAUUUGUUAAUAAACCAAUGGUUCUCCAGACUUUUUAGCGUACUAAGUGCUAAAGCAAACAAGAGAUUCUUCUCAAAAUAUGUCGGUGGCUUGAGAGAUGUCAUUACCAAGUGGUGAUCUAUACAGAAGCUUCACCGUAACAAGCAUGUCUGACCACCGCACUGCUAUGGAGAUCACUGUCUGUGUGGAGUAAUGACAGUCCUGCUGAAGAUGACUGGGUGAACUCUUCCUUUGGCUGUACUGUCAGGAACAUUCAUGUUCAAGAACACAUGUUUGGCAUCUACUGUUGAUUUUGAUACAGUGUCUUCCCCCUUUUGGAUGUUGUCUGUGGGGCAUUAUGGUCCCCAGUGUGGACCACUAGGGUACCUGAGCAGUGUGGAGGGUCCUUCAUUGGAACACGUAGCAUCAGUGGAGAUCAUGGUGGCUCCUGAUUUCUGCUUCCUUUGCAAGGGCACUUGUGAUGAAGAUGUGGGGCUCCUCUUGACCGAGAAGAUCAGGCUUAGGCACGCGAGGAAUCCACUUCCAAUAUGCUUCUGUGAGAUAAUAGACUAUACAUUGGUCUCUGCCACUACUGCCUGGCACAGAGCUCCUGAAACCCGUGUAAUUUCCUAGGUGAUAGGUGUGUCUUUUUCUUCUCAUGGGGUAACUCUGGGUGGGCUUCUGCAUGGCUUCGGGAUGAGGGCUGGUCAGCAGAAGAGCAAACCAUGAUGGAGGCUUGAAAGUUUCAGCCCCGCCCCAUUCUCUUAAGAAGGGAGAAGGACUGAAAAUGGAGGUGAUGGUUGACCAUGCUCAAAUGAGGAAGUCCCCCCUGAAAAAAUCCCCAACUACAGAAUUCAGAGAGCUUCCAGGUGGAUGAAUACAUCCUCAUAAUGGGAGAGUGAUGUACCCCAACUCCAUGGGGAUAGGAACUCCUGAGUUUGAACCCCUUUCAGACAUCACACUGUGUAUCUCUUCAUCUGGGUGUUCAUUUGUAUCUUUUGUCAUAUCCUUUAAUAAACUGGUAAAUAGAAGUAUUUCCUUGAAUUCUGUGUGUACCUUUAGCAAAUUAAUGGAGAAAGGUGUCUUAGGCAUCAUUUCAUGAGUACAAAUGAUUAAUUCUGUGAACUCCUUGGUACAUAUGAAUGCUUGGAUAUUCAACUUUGUAGUAAUUGGAUAAUUUCUUAUACACAAGCUUAUAGAUUAUGGAAAGAUAAUCUUUUACUUGAUAAAAAGAUAGUCUUGGUUUUACCAAAAGGGGUCUUGUAUAUAUGUUGCUCUUAUUAGUCCAUGCUGGAAUAUUUACUUCCAGUUUAUACAAAUAUUUGAUCAUGGAAUAACUUGCAGCAUAUGUAAUUCUUAGUAGUCACCAAAAUUAUGUUUAUGUCUUUGCUCUUCAAAUGAUAUAGGUUGUCAUUGGAUCUGAAGACAAUGUAAGUGUUUACUUUUAGUAUCAAAAAUCUUCUCAUUUUCACUAUGCUGUAUUUUGCUUAUGAUAUUUGUCUGAGUUAUGUAUCUAUGUGUAUGAGGGAAAUGUGACUUUUCCUGCAAUGAAAGGUUCCUGGUCCUAUUAAUAUAUAUGCCAUGACCUCCUCCAUAGUCUUCCAGUUGCCCCUUUCUUUGGUCUCAGCAUCCUCUGCUGUGAAAUCCAAUGCUGAUGUCUGGAUUGCAACACGUUUACUUCUAACAAGGUGAAAGGAAUUCAAGAGGAUGAGGGACCUCUACCACUGCUACAAAUUAAGAAAUGAAAGUUCCUGGGGAAAUGGGAAUGGACACAAAAGCCAUUAAAGAAAGUUUCUUUAACGAGG